This 275-nucleotide ribosomal RNA is filed under the name uncultured soil bacterium. RNAcentral describes it as "partial 16S ribosomal RNA". It matches the Rfam family "Bacterial small subunit ribosomal RNA", at positions 26 to 285 of the family's 1533-position model. The record is from RNAcentral.
AGAAUCAACGCUGGCGGCGUGCCUCAGACAUGCAAGUCGAACGCGAAAGCCCCUUUCGGGGGGCAAGUAGAGUGGCGCACGGGUGAGUAACACGUAGGUAAUCUACCUUCGGAUGGGGAAUAACAAUCGGAAACGGUUGCUAAUACCGCAUAAUGCAGCGGCACCUAAUGGUGACAGUUGUUAAAGCGGGGGAUCGAAAGACCUCGCGUCUGAAGAGGAGCCUGCGGCGGAUUAGCUAGUUGGUAAGUAAUGGCUUACCAAGGCGACGAUCCGUA